RNAcentral lists this long non-coding RNA (600 nucleotides) under Malus domestica (apple). RNAcentral's name for it is "long non-coding RNA (MDOM_LNC018686)". Lineage: Eukaryota; Viridiplantae; Streptophyta; Magnoliopsida; Rosales; Rosaceae. The record is from RNAcentral.
GCCAUAGUGUAAUAUUCCAUUUCACUCGGAUGCAUGCAUGGGAGUGGAAGUAUAAUUUUCACUGAUGAAGCAAAUCAGGAUAAAAGCAGACAUUAGGAAAAAAGAAAAAAAAAAAAAAAAAAAAGUAAACUUAUAAUUUUGUUGUAAUGUUAUACCUCAGUUAACUUUUCCAUUAAUUUUUCUGUUAACUGCUGACGUGAGACCCACUAUUUUGCUAAUCAGAAUAAAAAAUUAAUUAAUUAAUAAAAAAUUAUUUGUUAUUUAUUUAAAAAUUAAAAAUUAAUUAAAACAAACAAACCUUUUUCUUCCUUUUUUCCCCAGAAACCGUGCUUUCUCCCCAACGCCCCUUCGUCCUCCUCCGCCGCCUUCUUCCUCCUCCGUCCCCUUCAUCCUCCUCUUUAAACACAAGUGUCGGAUCUUUUCUGGCCCGCUUCGACUGACCCAGAGAACGGCCAUCUUUUCCCUCAAACUCUCCCUUCUCUCCUAACGCUCACCAUCUUUUCUUCUCUGUGUUUACAGAGACGCCGAGCCCCAGAGAAAGGCCAUCACCAGACCACCACCACAACUGUGUCACUCUCUCUUCUUCUCUCCCUCAACGCU